Molecule: long non-coding RNA, 1605 nt
Organism: Pan troglodytes (chimpanzee)
Lineage: Eukaryota; Metazoa; Chordata; Mammalia; Primates; Hominidae
Exons: 2
Source: RefSeq, a predicted model, not a curated record
CCUGACCAACAUGGUGAAACCCUGUCUCUAUUAAAAAUACAAAAUCAGCCGGGUGUGGUGGCCCAUGCCUGCAAUCCCAGCUACUUGGGAGGCUGAGGCAGGAGAAUUGCUUGAAUCCAGGAGGUGGAGGUUGCAGUGAGCCGAGAUGGCGCCACUGCACUCCAGCCUGGGCAACAAGAGUGAAUCUCCAUCUCAAAAAAGAAAAAGUAAAGAAAUAAAGAAUAGCUACUCCAUCGCAGAGCAGCCCUGAGGGCUGCUGGUUGGUGAUUUUUGUGGUUGUUUCCUGAUGAUAUGCUAAACAAGGUGGAUUAUUGAUGAGUUUUUCUGUAGAGUGGAGGAGAUUUCCCAGAGUGAAGGGUUCCUCCCCCUUUUAGACCAUACAGGGUAACUUUGAGUCAUGGCCAUGGCAUUUGUAAACUGUCCUGGCACUGGUGGGAGUGUUUUUGAGCAUGCUAACACAUUAUAAUUAGUGUAUAAAGAGCAGUGAGGAUGACCAGAGGUUGCUCUCUUUGCCGUCUUGGAUUUGGUGGGAUUUGUCCGGCUUCUUUACUACAACCUGUUUUAUCAGCAGGGUCUUUAUGACCUGUAUCUUGUGCUGACCUCCUAUCUCAUCCUGUGACUUAUAAUGCCUAACCUCCUGGGAAAUGCAGCCCCAGUCGAUCUCAGCCUCAUUUUACCCAGCUCUGUAUUCAAGAUUCAUUCACCCUGCUUCCAACGCCUCUGACGCUACGUUCCAGGGAUUACGGCAUGAACAUACUGUUUUCAGUACCCUAUCUAGCCCACCAUGUAUUUUCAGAGCUGCCCUUGGCCAUCUGGAAGAUGCACGGUGAACAAAACGGAUGCUUGCUCUCAGCACACACUUCCUUCCCUGACAGUUUGUCGCCUAGCAGAUAUUUUGGCUUCCCAAGGGAAAUCUUGUCCUUUGCCCUGGUGGUACUUACUGAAAAUCAACUCAUCAUGAGGAAGAUUAAUCAGAGAAAAGACAUACAAUUUUUUUUUUUUUUAAACUGUGAGCAUGACGAGAAUCACAGAGUGUAUACCCAAUAUCCCAAUGGGGGCAAAAUACUUCUGUAACCUCCUUUCAGGUGGCGAGAAGGGGACAUGGGAAUGUAGGUAAUUCUGUUGAGCGGUAAUAAGUGAUGACUAGGAAGAUUGAAUGGAUACUUGGGAGAAUGAAUACGGGGAGGAAACAGAGAUUGACUUAUUAAUGGUUCUCUUUGGAAAUUAAAUACUCCUUGGAGACCAGUCAUUACUUUGUAAAAAAGUCUGUUUGAGCGGGCUUACAUCUUAACCUUCUUUCCUGUGGUCAAGAAGAAGAUCCCAGGGAGGGAGGGAAAGUGAAUUGUAAUAAUCCCCACAUGUUCAGGGAGGGACCCUGUGGGAGGUCAUUGAAUGAUGGGGGGCAGGUGCUUCCUGUGUUGUUCUUAUGAUAGUGAUUAAGUCUCACAGGAUCUGAUGGUUUUAUAAAGCCAGGUUCCGCUGCACAUGCCCUCUUGCCUGCCGCCAUGGAAGAUGUGCUUUUUCUCCUCCUUUGCCUUCCGCCAUGAUUGUGAGUCUUCCCCAGCCAUGUGGAACUGUGAGUCCAUUAAACCUGUUUCCUUUAUA